GACGAACGCUGGCGGCGUGCUUAACACAUGCAAGUCGAACGCUGAAGCCCUUCGGGGUGGAUGAGUGGCGAACGGGUGAGUAACACGUGGGUAAUCUGCCCUGCACUCUGGGAUAAGCCUUGGAAACGGGGUCUAAUACCGGAUAGGACACAUCGCCGCAUGGUGUGUGUGUGGAAAGUUCCGGCGGUGCAGGUUGGGCCCGCGGCCUAACAGCUUGUUGGUGGGGUGAUGGCCUACCAAGGCGACGACGGGUCGCCGGCCUGAGAGGGUGACCGGCCACACUGGGACUGGGACACGGCCCAGACUCCUACGGGAGGCAGCAGUGGUGAAUCUUGCGAAAUGGGCGAAAGCCUGACGCAGCAACGCCGCGUGGGGGAUGACGGCCUUCGGGUUGUAAACCUCUUUCGACCGGGACGAAGGAUUCGUUUGACGGUACCGGUAGAAUAAGCACCGGCUAACUACGUGCCAGCCGCCGCAGUAA
Molecule: ribosomal RNA, 481 nt
Filed under: uncultured bacterium
Lineage: Bacteria
Description: partial 16S ribosomal RNA
Rfam family: Bacterial small subunit ribosomal RNA
Source: RNAcentral